This 691-nucleotide ribosomal RNA is filed under the name uncultured Bacteroidales bacterium. Its description in RNAcentral is "bacterial SSU rRNA". It matches the Rfam family "Bacterial small subunit ribosomal RNA", at positions 32 to 715 of the family's 1533-position model. The record is from RNAcentral. Lineage: Bacteria; Pseudomonadati; Bacteroidota; Bacteroidia; Bacteroidales.
AACGCUAGCUACAGGCUUAACACAUGCAAGUCGAGGGGCAGCAUUGGAGUAGCAAUACUUCAGAUGGCGACCGGCGCACGGGUGAGUAACACGUAUCCAACCUGCCGCUUACUCGGGGAUAGCCUUUCGAAAGAAAGAUUAAUACCCGAUGGUAUAAAGAGUUCGCAUGUUCUCUUUAUUAAAGAAUUUCGGUAAGCGAUGGGGAUGCGUUCCAUUAGAUAGUUGGCGGGGUAACGGCCCACCAAGUCUACGAUGGAUAGGGGUUCUGAGAGGAAGGUCCCCCACAUUGGAACUGAGACACGGUCCAAACUCCAACGGGAGGCAGCAGUGAGGAAUAUUGGUCAAUGGACGCGAGUCUGAACCAGCCAAGUAGCGUGAAGGAUGACUGCCCUAUGGGUUGUAAACUUCUUUUAUAAGGGAAUAAAGUGAGGGACGUGUCCCUUUUUGUAUGUACCUUAUGAAUAAGGAUCGGCUAACUCCGUGCCAGCAGCCGCGGUAAUACGGAGGAUCCGAGCGUUAUCCGGAUUUAUUGGGUCUAAAGGGAGCGUAGGUUGACAUAUAAGUCAGCUGUGAAAGUUUACGGCUCAACCGUGAAAUUGCAGUUGAUACUGUAUGUCUUGAGUGUACAAGAGGUGGGCGGAAUUCGUGGUGUAGCGGUGAAAUGCUUAGAUAUCACGAAGAACUCCGAUUG